RNAcentral lists this ribosomal RNA (272 nucleotides) under unidentified marine bacterioplankton. RNAcentral's name for it is "partial 16S ribosomal RNA". It matches the Rfam family "Bacterial small subunit ribosomal RNA", at positions 62 to 339 of the family's 1533-position model. The record is from RNAcentral.
UCGAACGAUUACGCAUUUAUGUGUAGUAGUGGCGAACGGGUGAGUAACACAUUGGUAACCUACCUCUAACACGGGCAUAACUCCGAGAAAUCGGAGAUAAUUCCCGAUAGUCUCUUGAUUCAUCAAGAAUUCAAGAGUAAAGUUCCGACGGUUAGAGAGGGGCCUAUGUCUGAUUAGUUUGUUGGUGAGGUAAAAGCUCACCAAGACUACGAUCAGUAGCGGGGAUGGAAGUCUGAUCCGCCUCACUGGGACUGAGACACUGCCCAGACUCC